Molecule: ribosomal RNA, 301 nt
Filed under: uncultured bacterium
Lineage: Bacteria
Description: partial 16S ribosomal RNA
Rfam family: Bacterial small subunit ribosomal RNA
Source: RNAcentral
CAGCCGCCGCGGGAAUACGGAGGGGGCUAGCGUUGUUCGGAAUUACUGGGCGUAAAGCGCACGUAGGCGGCUUUGUAAGUUAGAGGUGAAAGCCCGGAGCUCAACUCCGGAAUUGCCUUUAAGACUGCAGAGCUAGCAGGUGAGAGAGGUGAGUGGAAUUCCGAGUGUAGGGGUGAAAUUCGUAGAUAUUCGGAAGAACACCAGUGGCGAAGGCGGCCAUCUGGGACAACACUGACGCUGAGGCACGAAAGCGUGGGGAGCAAACAGGAUUAGAUACCCCCGUAGUCCCUGUCUCUUAUAC